AUGGCGACCACUGUGUUUUCUGGAUCAACCUAUCCUACAGCUAAUGAGUUCUUUCUUCUAAUUGUGAAUGUUAAGAAGGUCCUCGAUGAUGCAUCUGCCUCUACAGAUAAAUUCUUGCAUGAUAUGGAAAAUGCUAUGCUUCAGAAAUUUGAGAAGUAUUGGAAAGAGUGCAGUACUUUGCUGUCAAUAGCGUCAAUUCUGGAUCCAAGGUACAAGAUGGAUCUAAUUAAUUUCUGUUUUCCCAAGAUAUAUGUUGCUAGUGACAUUGAACACAACAUUGACUCAGUAAGUUCAACACUGAAGGAGUUGUAUGAACAUUAUGAGAGUGACCACACAGCCAACUUGGUUGCAGCAGAAAAGAAAGUGGAUAAUCAGGCCGUCGCUUCAGAAAAUGAGACAUCAAGCAAUAGUCUCAUGGCAAUUUCAACUCAGUUUCGUACCUUCAUGAAGACUACUGCUAAAAAGGUUUCCAAGUCAGAUCUAGUUGCAUACUUAGAUGAGGCUGCACUUAAUCAUUCAGAAGACUUUGAUGUGCUACUUUGGUGGAAGCAAAAUUCAUCAAGGUAUCCAAUACUAUCCAAGGUUGUGAAAGAUAUUCUUACUGUGCCAGUCAGUACUGUUUCUUCGGAAUCAUCAUUUAGUACCGGAGGCAGAGUGCUUGAUAAUUAUAGAAGCUCUUUACUCCCAAAUACUGUUGAGGCUUUGGUGUGUUCAGCUAGUUGGAUUAGAGGCUCCCAAAAGAAAAAGAAAGCUAACAAGGAUAAAGAAGACCAGGGUGACUUACUUGAAGUUCCUUUUCUGGAUAAAGAUCCUUCGAUCGUUUCUACAGACUAG
Molecule: ribosomal RNA, 834 nt
Filed under: Triticum aestivum (bread wheat)
Lineage: Eukaryota; Viridiplantae; Streptophyta; Magnoliopsida; Poales; Poaceae
Description: partial small subunit ribosomal RNA
Source: RNAcentral